UACCAGACACCAUCUCCAGCUCUCUGACUCUAGAGGAACUCUCUCUGAUUAGGAUUCAGUAUGGGGUUCCUCUGGAGUAUGAGCUGGAGCUUCUCAGGCCGACUGGUUGGGCUAGCGCUUCUCCCCCUGGCUGCUUUUGUUUAUACCAAGAAGCUUUCCGUGUCGGGCUUCGACUUUCACUUCCACCUUUUGUUAUUGCUCUCUUCCACUUCUUAAACAUUUCUUUAG
Molecule: long non-coding RNA, 228 nt
Filed under: Elaeis guineensis (African oil palm)
Lineage: Eukaryota; Viridiplantae; Streptophyta; Magnoliopsida; Arecales; Arecaceae
Description: long non-coding RNA (EGUI_LNC057714)
Source: RNAcentral